This 484-nucleotide ribosomal RNA is filed under the name uncultured bacterium. Its description in RNAcentral is "partial 16S ribosomal RNA". It matches the Rfam family "Bacterial small subunit ribosomal RNA", at positions 30 to 507 of the family's 1533-position model. The record is from RNAcentral.
AUUGAACGCUGGCGGCAGGCCUAACACAUGCAAGUCGAGCGGAUGAAGGGAGCUUGCUCCUGGAUUCAGCGGCGGACGGGUGAGUAAUGCCUAGGAAUCUGCCUGGUAGUGGGUGAUAACGUCCGGAAACGGGCGCUAAUACCGCAUACGUCCUGAGGGAGAAAGUGGGGGAUCUUCGGACCUCACGCUAUCAGAUGAGCCUAGGUGGGAUUAGCUAGUUGGUGGGGUAAAGGCCUACCUAGGCGACGAUCCGUAACUCGUCUGAGAGGAUGAUCAGUCACACUGGAACGGAGACACGGUCAAGACUCCUGAGGGAGGCAGCAGUGGGGAAUAGUGGACAAUGGGCGAAAGCCUGAUACAGCCAUGGCGAGUGUGUGAAGAAGGUCUUCGGAUUGUGAAGCACUUUAAGUUGGGAGGAAGGGCAGUAAGUUAAUACCUUGCUGUUUUGACGUUACCAACAGAAUAAGCACCGGCUAACUUCGUG